Molecule: transfer RNA, 84 nt
Filed under: Minisyncoccota bacterium
Lineage: Bacteria; Bacillati; Minisyncoccota
Description: tRNA-Leu
Rfam family: tRNA
About the family: Transfer RNA (tRNA) molecules are approximately 80 nucleotides in length. Their secondary structure includes four short double-helical elements and three loops (D, anti-codon, and T loops).
Source: RNAcentral
GCCGCGGUGGCGGAAUUGGUAGACGCGCGAGACUUAAAAUCUCGUUCUAGCAAUGGAGUGUGGGUUCGAUUCCCACCCGCGGCA